This is a long non-coding RNA of Cyanistes caeruleus (blue tit), 2033 nucleotides long. RefSeq lists it as uncharacterized. The record is from RefSeq and is a predicted model, not a curated record. Lineage: Eukaryota; Metazoa; Chordata; Aves; Passeriformes; Paridae.
ACAGACACAUAACCACAGUUACAAGAAGGCCUCUUCCUUGCUCCUCUGUCUCACAGAUAUUUGGCCUUUUUUGAAAGCUGAGACAGGCAUCUGCUACAGAAGGAACAAAUACUUGUAUUGUAUCAGUAACAGAGAUGUCCUGUGUUACUUAUCUUGCAGAGCACAGCAAAGGCCAAAAGUUCCCACUUCUUUUCAUGCUCAUUGAUCCAAGCUGAGUGACAUGGUGAGGCAUGGUAGGAACUCUGAGGCAAGGGACACUUCACCAGCACCAAAUGCAGCUUCACAGCACUGUGAAACCCCAGCUGUUACAACCACAUAAAAACGCCCACAUUAAUGGACAGUGCGCUAUCACCUGACCCACAUUUACUGGCUAGCUGCUGCAGGCCUGAGUCCCUUGUGCUGACAAAGAUGAGGGUAAUGUAAAAGGCUUCUUGGUGCCACAGCUCAAACAAGCAUAGGCAAGGAAGUGCAGCUUCUUUUAGUUGCACUUUGAUAGAAAAGCAAAUAUUUUUCAGCUCUGUUCAUGCAACAUUUACCUUCACCACUGUGAACAUUGCUGCCUUACAGGACAUAAGUCUGCUUAUCCCAACUCCAUCAGUUGGGAGGUUCUCUGCAGUCUCCUGUAGCAAGGGUAAACUUACAGGUUGAACCAUUCAGGUAUCUCUCAUCUUCCUAAAAUAUCUUCCUAGGCCGUAUCUUUCAUAAACACAUGCAUUAUAGAAGCACAAGCCCAUACGUUUUACACUCAGAUUUUGUGUCAGUUCUGGGAAAGUUAAUUCCCAGCCAAUUUUACUUGCUUAGAGUCUACCAGCCUCGGACACUAAGAUGCACAUUUUUAUGGCUGACACUUGUCUCUCUGUAUGCCUGCAGUCAGGCUUUAAUCUGCUCCCACACAAAAACCUGUGCCCUCAACUACCACAGGCAGUUGGUGUUUAAGCAUUCUGCAUGCAGGACAGACUCAAGACAAAUGGUGAAAUUAUGGAACAGAGUAUAUCCUUUUAUCCUGUUCAGGCAAUAAAAAUUCACCAUGGCUAAAAUAGCUUUUUUACUUAGCAUCUGACCACAGAGUAGAAUUUUUCAUGCUUUUCUCAUCACUUGGUUUUUCUCUCUUGAAACCGUAUUAAACCCAGACUGUUUUAUAGACCUGAUUCUUUACCAUCACUAAGAUCAAACAUGGAUUUAUUAUUUUCAUAGGGUUUUUAGCAGUGAAAUUAGUCUGAUUUUCUUUCCCCUCCAGCAAGCUUGACCUUGGAGUAAACAUCCUGGCUAACAGUCAAGGUGACUUCAUCAUCACACAGAGCAUGAGGAUUCCUCUCUUUGCCUUCAUGGCAAAGUAUAUGCCAUUUCAUUGUCUUGAUGGAGCCUUCGAAACUCAAUACAGACUGAGGCAGCCAGUCCUUUGAGGGGAGAAAUGCAAAUCAAAUGCUUGAAUUAAGUCAGGUUUAAAGAACUAAAUUUCUGGUGAGGGGCAGAGAAGAUGGAGACAAGAAAACGAUCAUACGUUUUUUGUCCACUUGUGCACUGUUAUGGUGGGCUGACGGUAGACUGAACAACAGAAAAGCAGCCAGAACUGUACAACAAUUCCAUGGCCACUAUGUCCUCAACUUCCACACUUCCACAAACCUUCCUGAUGCCAGCAGCCACUGCAAGGAGUGGACUGUGAGGCACCCCAAGAACAGGACAAACAGAUGCACUUUGUUCAUGCUGCCCUUUUGCAAACUCUACACCUGGUCACAGGAAGGCUCCAGUAUCACUAAGGUAUUGGAACUAGAGAACAGCACAAAGUAGUUAACCUCAGACACGCUGUUGGAUAGCCUCUCAAGGGACAUGCAAAAGGAAAAUAGAGAAGGGGACACCACAAUACAUUGUUUCUGUGACAAAGUAUUUCUAUGGCCUCACGCAAGAGCUUUUGCUUCUUGAGGAGAAAUCCACAUGAUUUGGCAGCUGUCAGUUAACUAUACAUAAACCUCAAAUGCAGAAAUAUUUUGAAAAAAAUGUUUUUCUUAGCAUUUACUCUGCCUGAACCUGACAGA